GAAGAAUAUAGCCAAUGUCUUCCUGAUGGUCAUGGAAUAUUUUAAAAAAAUAAUAUAAGAAGGAUUGUUUAUGAUCUAAUGCCUACAGCUGGGAUAUAUUUCAAAUCGCCUUUUUAUAUGUAGAAUCUCCUAAUUUUUUUUUUUCUUAUUAAACUUGAAAAUCGGAAGUCAUGUAAAAUGCCACAAGCACUAGAUUCAGGAUGAAAUUCUAGAAAAAUCCAUCACGCUUCCUCACCAGCCCAGCUCUGCUUUGCUUAUGAGCCCUGACAAGAUCACAGCUUGAGAAGUGAGAGAAGACGAGGUCUGAAAACAAAGUACAAGACUUUUGCUGCCUUGCUAGAGGUGUUUGCAUGCAGUUCUGGGAAGAUAUUUUAAAUUCAUGUGCUUUAAGUGGUG
Long non-coding RNA from Gallus gallus (chicken), 396 nucleotides. Lineage: Eukaryota; Metazoa; Chordata; Aves; Galliformes; Phasianidae. The record is from Ensembl.